AACGAACGCUGGCGGCAUGCCUAACACAUGCAAGUCGAACGAGACCUUCGGGUCUAGUGGCGCACGGGUGCGUAACGCGUGGGAACCUGCCCUUAGGUUCGGAAUAACUCCCCGACAGGGGUGCUAAUACCGGAUAAUUUCUUCGGACCAAAGAUUUAUCGCCUUUGGAUGGGCCCGCGUUGUAUUAGCCUUUUGGUAGGGUAAAAGCCUACCAAGGCUUCGAUCGAUAGCUGGGCAGAGAGGAAGAUCAGCCACACUUGGACUAGGCAACGGCCCAGAAUCUUGCGGGAGGCAGGAAUGGGGGAUAUUGGAAAAUGGGGUAAAGCAUGAUCCAGCUAGGGCGGGUGAGUGAUGAAGGCGUGAGGGUUGUAAAGCUCUUUUACCCGGGAUGAUAAUGACAGUACCGGGAGAAUAAGCACCGGCUAACUCCGUG
Molecule: ribosomal RNA, 433 nt
Filed under: uncultured bacterium
Lineage: Bacteria
Description: partial 16S ribosomal RNA
Rfam family: Bacterial small subunit ribosomal RNA
Source: RNAcentral